RNAcentral lists this long non-coding RNA (457 nucleotides) under Brassica napus (rape). Its description in RNAcentral is "long non-coding RNA (BNAP_LNC018194)". The record is from RNAcentral. Lineage: Eukaryota; Viridiplantae; Streptophyta; Magnoliopsida; Brassicales; Brassicaceae.
GAUUAUAGUUAAUUAUUAAUAAUAUUAAGGACUAAACUGUAGUAAUAUGUAAAUUUUGUAGAGAAAAGUUUAGUGAUUGUAGUUUUCUCUUUAUUAUAAGUGGGUCCCCCAAGUUCUAUUUUUCGUCUUGGAUCUAGUUUUAUUGUAUGUUAUUUGGGAGCAGCAAUAUGGAAACAAUAAGCUAAAAGAGAUCUUUAUGAAUAUAUGAUUUGCUGCAAUGGUUCAACCAGAUGAGUUGAUCUUCCACUGCCAUUAAACAGCUGUUUCCUUUCUAACAGUUAUUGUUGCUUUUCCCUUGCCAUUAACCACCUCUUCCCUUGCUCUAACUCCCAAAAUUCAGAGGCUUAAUGGGCUCAUUACUUAAAUCGGCCCAGAAGGGUACAUAGUGCCCCCAUGAUAUAUAAGCAAAACUAGGUUAUAUGACUAAGAGUACUUCACUCUGCAGACGGCUUCACAC